This 305-nucleotide unclassified non-coding RNA is filed under the name plant metagenome. Its description in RNAcentral is "partial contains 5.8S ribosomal RNA, internal transcribed spacer 2, and large subunit ribosomal RNA". The stretch from base 1 to 105 matches the Rfam family "5.8S ribosomal RNA", at positions 50 to 154 of the family's 154-position model. The record is from RNAcentral.
GAAAUGCGAUAAGUAAUGUGAAUUGCAGAAUUCAGUGAAUCAUCGAAUCUUUGAACGCACAUUGCGCCCGCCAGUAUUCUGGCGGGCAUGCCUGUUCGAGCGUCAUUUCAACCAUCAAGCCCCCGGCUGGUGUUGGGGACCUGCGGCUGCCCGCAGGCCCUGAAAAACAGUGGCGGGCUCGCUGUCACACCGAGCGUAGUAGCAUACAUUCUCGCUCCGGGCGUGCUGCGGGUUCCGGCCGUUAAACGACCUUCAUAACCCAAGGUUGACCUCGGAUCAGGUAGGAAGACCCGCUGAACUUAAGC